This 497-nucleotide ribosomal RNA is filed under the name uncultured bacterium. RNAcentral's name for it is "partial 16S ribosomal RNA". It matches the Rfam family "Bacterial small subunit ribosomal RNA", at positions 28 to 507 of the family's 1533-position model. The record is from RNAcentral.
GAUGAACGCUGGCGGCGUGCCUAAUACAUGCAAGUCGAGCGAAAAGAUAAGGAGCUUGCUCCUUUGACGUUAGCGGCGGACGGGUGAGUAACACGUGGGGAACACACCUAUAAGACUGGAAUAACCCCGGGAAACCGGGGCUAAUUCCGGAUAAAAUUUAGAACCGCAUGGUUCUAAAGUUAAAGAUGGUUUUGCUUUCACUUAUAGAUGGACCCGGGCCGUAUUAGCUAGUGGGUAGGGUAACGGCUUACCAAGGCGACGAUCCGUAGCCGACCUGAGAGGGUGAUCGGCCACACUGGAACUGAGACACGGUCCAGACUCCUACGGGAGGCAGCAGUAGGGAAUCUUGCGCAAUGGGCGAAAGCCUGACGGAGCAACGCCGCGUGAGUGAAGAAGGUCUUCGGAUCGUAAAACUCUGUUAUUAGGGAAGAACAGAGGUGUGUGAAUCUCUGCGCUUCUUGACGUUACCUGAUCAAAAAGCCCCGGCUAACUACGUG